AGCGAACGCUGGCGGUAUGCUUAACACAUGCAAGUCGAGCGCGAAAGUGACUUCGGUCAUAAGUAGAGCGGCGGACGGGUGAGUAACACGUGGAUAAUCUGCCUUUAGGACUGGGAUAACCCUGGGAAACUAGGGCUAAUACCGGAUAAGACCACAGGUUCCAUGGAACCAGGGGUAAAAGGCGGCCUUCGGGCUGUCGCCGAAAGAUGAGUCCGCGUCCCAUCAGGUAGUUGGUGAGGUAACGGCUCACCAAGCCGAAGACGGGUAGCCGACCUUAGCGGGUGAUCGGCCACACGGGGACUGAGACACGGCCCCG
This 316-nucleotide ribosomal RNA is filed under the name uncultured bacterium. RNAcentral describes it as "bacterial SSU rRNA". It matches the Rfam family "Bacterial small subunit ribosomal RNA", at positions 29 to 334 of the family's 1533-position model. The record is from RNAcentral.